UCCAGACUCCUACGGGAGGCAGCAGUGGGGGAUAUUGCACAAUGGGGGGAACCCUGAUGCAGCGACGCCGCGUGGGUGAAGGAGCGUUUCGGCGCGUAAAGCCCUCUCGGCAGGGAAGAAGGAGGACGGUACCUGACUAAGAAGCCCCGGCUAACUACGUGCCAGCAGCCGCGGUAAUACGUAGGGGGCAAGCGUUAUCCGGAUUUACUGGGUGUAAAGGGGGCGCAGACGGCAGCGCAAGCCAGGAGUGAAAGCCCGGGGCCCAACCCCGGGACUGCUCUUGGAACUGCGCGGCUGGAGUGCAGGAGGGGCAGGCGGAAUUCCUGGUGUAGCGGUGAAAUGCGUAGAUAUCAGGAGGAACACCGGUGGCGAAGGCGGCCUGCUGGACUGCAACUGACGUUGAGGCCCGAAAGCGUGGGGAGCAAACAGGAUUAGAUACCCCAGUA
This 446-nucleotide ribosomal RNA is filed under the name uncultured bacterium. RNAcentral's name for it is "partial 16S ribosomal RNA". It matches the Rfam family "Bacterial small subunit ribosomal RNA", at positions 330 to 792 of the family's 1533-position model. The record is from RNAcentral.